CCCAGAUAAGCAGCGAUGAUGCUGAGUGUGACCAUGGAGAGGAGACCUGAUGCUUGCCUACCCCGUGCUGGGUGCAGCCACUUGCCUCUUUGCAAAUGCGGAGGGAAAUGCUGCCCGUGGAGCGCUGAAGGCACGGGAAGCUGUCCCUGGGACUCUCUAAGCCAUCUCAGGUCCCAGUCCCCUGCUCAGAGUUUCCUUCCAGCCCGCAGUUACCAACCGCUCCUCGUGCGAGGCUCUUGUCACCGCCAGAAUGACAUGGUGUCAGGGUGUCAGUCCGUGACUCGCCUCGGCAGCCUGAGGGGUCACCAGCUCAGCUGUGCCUGGAGCACAGACCUGCCUGGGAGGACACCUUCUUCCCCGGGAGCAGUCCCAGUGCCGCACGCUGGAAGUCCUGGGAGCAGGCUGGUACAGCAAAGGGUAAGUUGGAAACAGUGUGCUUAGGAUUUUCAAGGGGGACAGAAAGGAAUUAAGCAUCCAGCUUCC
This is a long non-coding RNA of Falco tinnunculus (common kestrel), 483 nucleotides long. Lineage: Eukaryota; Metazoa; Chordata; Aves; Falconiformes; Falconidae. The record is from Ensembl.